GACGAACGCUGGCGGCGUGGAUUAGGCAUGCAAGUCGAACGGUAUCAUCCUUUCGGGGGUGAGAGAGUGGCGAACUGGUGAGUAACACGUAGGUUAUCUACCCUCAAGACGGGGACAACCCAGGGAAACUUGGGCUAAUACCGGAUGUGAGCAACUUUUAGUUGUUUGAAAGGUGGCGUAAGCUGUCGCUUGGGGAUGAGCCUGCGUCCUAUUAGUUAGUUGGUGAGGUAACGGCUCACCUAGGCAAUGAUAGGUAGGCGGCCUUAACGGGUGGUCGCCCACACUGGGAUUGAGAUACGGCCCAGACUCCUACGGGAGGCAGCAGUCGAGAAUAGUCUACAAUGGUCGGAAGACUGAUAGUGCGACGCCGCGUGAACGAUGAAAUCCCUUCGGGGUGUAAAGUUCUUUUAUAUGUGAGCAGUGCUUCUUAUAUUAACAGUAUGGGGAGAGAGAUAUUAGCAUAUGAAUAAGCAACGGCUAAACUCCGUGCCCAGCAGCCGCGGU
This 504-nucleotide ribosomal RNA is filed under the name uncultured bacterium. RNAcentral's name for it is "bacterial SSU rRNA". It matches the Rfam family "Bacterial small subunit ribosomal RNA", at positions 28 to 521 of the family's 1533-position model. The record is from RNAcentral.